RNAcentral lists this long non-coding RNA (5334 nucleotides) under Linum usitatissimum (flax). Its description in RNAcentral is "long non-coding RNA (LUSI_LNC003848)". The record is from RNAcentral. Lineage: Eukaryota; Viridiplantae; Streptophyta; Magnoliopsida; Malpighiales; Linaceae.
AAAUACGUUCAUCAAAUUGGAUAUUAUUAUUGGAAGUUCUUCGAAGACUCAUAGUGAACUCAGGUCGUGUGCCAAUGAUUUUCUCAUGAAUAAAAGUUUUAUUUUAAACUGAUGCGACAAUGUCUUAAACCGGUAUUCCAACGUAAUUUGUUGGCUCCCCUACAAGCACUAUUUUGUUGGCAAACAACGAGCAGAUAAGAGAUUGCUACACAUGCCUAAUCGACAAGAGAGAAACCCACAUGCUCUUACCACUCACCACUGUCCCUUUCUUUUACUCUUAUUAUGUCAUUAUAAAUGCCUACACAUUUCACACUUAGUCCAUUACCUUUCAUCUUCAUGUUUGUACCAUCUUCUCCCUCACCCUUUACUAUCACUUCUAGGAUUUUGCAUAUGCUUGGGUAAUUCUUUGAUAUUCAUACCAUAUUCAACUAUGAACUCUGAAGAUUACGAUUACUUUAUAAGCACACUUGAUUGGGUUCUCAUGUGAAUUGCCAUCAUUUCCACCCUUAUUGUAGCCAUCAGCAUCUACUAUUCCUCUGAUCCGCGUGAUCGGUGACAUGAAGAAAUCAAACAUAAAGGCCUUCAUGAGUACAAGGAUCACUAUGUCCUUCUAGAGCCAUGGGUGAACCCUUUCGAGCUUUGAAUUUUUAUAUUUUCACGUGUUAUAUUUCAUUUGUCUUUUAAUAUUAAGAAUCUUUUAAACUCCAUAUACUUGGGUUGUUGACCAAGUGCAACCAGGUAGAUAUUUGAAUUUCAUGACAUGAAGGUCCAUUUUUGAUGUUUAAAUCGUUGUUAUCUAUCCUACUCUCAUUAAUUGAGCUAAAGAUUUAUUAUAAUGAAACAAAGGAAAAUCACCUAAGUGACCCAUAUAUUGAUUUGUUUUGCAACACAAAUAGAAAAGUAUUUAGUGGAAGAGACAAGAUUGAAUGAAAAUAAUAAGUGAGCUAAUGGAUGAUCUUUAACAUGAAUGUCAAAUAUGAGUAGAAGUAGAAUAGGUGUUUACAGUUCAUGCCCCCUAUAUCGGCCCUACAGUACAUAUCCGAAUAUAACUAGAAACCCACAAUAUAAGCAAGAACUUCAAAAGCAGAGUUUAACAAACAAAAACACACUCCAAGUUGGUCAAAGCAGACCCUACAAUGCAUCGCAACUUCUAGUAAUGCUGCGUCAUAGAAGUGAAAAUUAGGCUCAAACAAUGUGGAUACUAGCCUGCCUUUCAUGCCUGCCCACACGAACAGGUUUGAUUGGAAGGUUAUCUUGGUGCCACUACUCAGCCUCAUAAGGGGCACAUCUCAACAGAAAAGAGAUGAGCAAGAGGAAGAAGAUGGUGACAAGUAGAAAAAAAUUCACCACGAUUAGUGACUUGAAGAAGUUGGUGAAAACCAUUAUUGUGACAGGAACUUUUGAAGAGGGGAUUAAAGACUCGACAUAAUAGAACUAAAGAUUAGCUUUCUUUGAGGUUCGCUGGAUAGUCACUAGGGAAAUAAUGAAAUUAGUUUGUUAAAUAGCCUUAGGUUUGAGAAGAAAAUGGGAGAUGUGAUGGUAGGUAAUUGAUACAAUAAUGGCACGUUCCCACAAUAUCAUGAUGUCCCUGCGUGAAAGGGAAAUAGGAAGAUAAGGCGUGAUUGAAAGUUCAACCUUGAAUGAAGACGAUAAAGUUUAAGUCGGUGUCUCAACCUAACUCCUUCGAUCACUAUUCUGUCGGCAGACAAAAAGUGGACGAGGAAUUACCACGCCUGCCUAAGCUAGAAAGAAAAGAAAAACCCAUAUAUUUUCCCUAUUUCACCUACCACUCUCCAUCAUCUCCUAUCUUUUACUCUCACUUCCCUUAAUAAAUGCACCAAAUCUUUCAUUUUAUAUUAUCUCACUUUCUAACCUUUUCUUCAUUUUCGGCUAACACUUUUCUCCUUUCAUAUUUUGGUUCUUUUAUAAUGACUCCUAUUUAUCCAACUGCUCCUGAAAAAAUACCAGAGUGUUGUCCUUGCUACAAUGAGUUUCAGUUAUACAAAUCUAUAUAUCUGGUCAUGCGAUAUCUUCUCCUCAUGAUGCUUAUCCCUGCUGCAUUUACAUGCUUUUUGAUAACUCGCCAAACUCAUCGUGGUGAAGAAGUCCCUCCAAAUCUCAGACCCAUAGGUAUGUUAUACAUGGAAGAUCUCAAAGAUUAUGCUCGUAGGGAGGCACAUGAGGAUUAAAUGAGAGUCUAAGUACUUUCCCAAAAGCAUCUUCAACUUACCUCGAUACUAUUUUUUAUUUCUGUUGUACUUUGGUCAUGUCUCAGUAUUAGGAAUCUCCCUCAAAUUCUUACAAUUAAGUUAUUAAAAAUUCCCCAUUUUACUUCCACCGUGAGGGUCUACUUUUUAGACAGAGUGUUUCGAGGGUACUUAUAUUAGUUUGACUGAAUUCAAGGUUAUCACCUCAAUAAAUCCCUUCAAAUAUGAUAUUUUGCCUUUUUACUCAUAUAUCUUGAGUAGUAAGUUUGUCAUGAAUCAGUCAAUGACCUAUUACUUUCUUAUGAUUGGGAGAUGUAUCGACCAUGAUCAAAGAAUUUUCUCCUAAAUUUUCCUUGCAAUGUGUAUGCCAUGCUAUUAAACUAAUCAUGUAAUGAAAAUAUUAAAAUGAAGUAUGCAUGCAUGCUCAUUUAUAAAACAAGUGUAAGAGUUAUACGCUACAGUUGGGGAAAAACAGUUACAAAAUAUGGAGGACUUUCACAAUUGCUUUAACAAUGAUGAGCUCGAGCGACCCAACCCGCUUUUUCAACCCUAUCUAUGACGAUGCACACAUGUUAAUCUGAGGAUUCAUUUUGCAAAUAUUAGUGAUCUGUCCUCUCUUAAAGUGUGUCGUGUCAUCCAUUCACCAAUAAAUUCUCUUGACCUUUCAAUGAACUUUCAUUCGAGAAAAGAAGAACCAUAAUUGGGUUGAUAAGGUGAUACUAGUCGUGAGUUGUUCUUUGACCUCUUUUCGUAUUCCUCUAUUUCUUCCCUUUCUCCAUUUUGUUUCUUUCCGUAUGUAUUUUUCUUAAAAAAUAUUUUCCCAAACAUUUGCAUGGAUUGGACCAAAUAACAAGGAGUAAAUAUGCGUUUAUUAAUAAUGGAUUCUUCGAACAUAUCUCAUUUCGAGUUUAUGGGCAUGCAACAGAAAAAUACAUGAGUAUAAGUGAAAAAUGAUAAUUAUCCCCACUUUCUCAAAGGCAAGCCUUUCCAACCCUUUCCGUUUAAUUGAAAUCGUAAAACGCUCUGCGUCAAAACGUAAUAUUUUUUAACUGAAUCAGAGUUGAUGGGGUGUGGGAGCUCGUUGCCAUUCGUAUUCAUUAGAAUUAAUACCCCUCUAGAGAAUGCAUUUUUCACCGCAUAUGGACCAUCGUAAUUGGGGAUCCAUUUGCCUCUCGGAUCUCCGUGUCGUGAAGAUAAUUUUUUUAUCACCAAUUCACCCUCUUGAAAAAAUCUAGGUUUCACUUUCUUCUCAAAUGCCCUUAUUAACCACCUUUGGUAUAGGUGACCAUGAUGAAUAGCCGCCAACCUUUUGUCAUCAAUCAUAUUUAGCUGGUCAUACCUUGUUUUCACCCACUCAGCUUCUUCCAGUUUCGCUUUCAUCAAAACCAUGAGAGAGGGUAUCUCUACUUCUACUAGAAGUAUAGCCUCCAUCCCAUAUACUAGUUGGUAUGGUUAGCUCCAGUUGACGUCCAGAUUGAGGUUCAAUUGCAAUGAAGUGCAAAAGGUAGCAUCUCCUAGCAGUCACGAUAUGUAACCACCAUUUUUUGCACGAUCUUCUUAAUAUUUUUAUUGGCUGCUUCUAUAGCACCAUUCAUCUUAGGCUGGUAGGGUACUGAGUUGUGGUGUUUGAUCUUCAAUUGAUUGCAUAGUUUGUCCAUCAUCUUGUUGUUAAGGUUCUUGGAAUUAUCGGUGAUCAAUCGUUCUGGUAAUCCAUAUCGAUAAAUAAUCUCCUUUUUAAUGAACUUAACCAGAACGCUCCUUGUUAUGCUAAUGUAUGAAGCCGCUUCGAACCAUUUAGUGAAAUAGUCAAUAGAUACUAAGAUAAAACAGUGUCGAUUGGAUGCCUUUGGUUCGAUCAUUAUGAUUACGUUUAUACCCCAAACCGUAAAAGGCCACGAAGAGGUCAUAACAUGGAGAGAUGAGGGUGGUGCAUGUAGUUCAUUAGCGUAAAUUUGGCAUUUGUGACAUUUGCAAAUGUAUCCAUCCUCGUCCAAUAAUACCCCAUUCUCAGAAUUUUCAUAGCCAGAGUAUGUCCUCCUAAAUGAGUACCACAUAUUCCAUCGUGAACUUCCUCUAGUAUUCUCCGUGCUUUAGAUGAAUCCACGCACCUCAGAAGUUUGAAGUCGUGGUUUCAUUUGUACAGGACAUAACCAUUAAUAUAAAACCCUAGCACCAAUCGACGUAAAGUUCUUUUUUCAUUCUCUAAUGCUCCAGUUGGGUAUUCUUUAUUUCUUAUGUAGUUCAUUAUGUCGUUGUACCAUGGCCUUCCAUCGGUCUCUUCUUAACAUUUGAGACAUGUAAUGAGGUCAUCCACUUUGUACAUUAAUGAUAACAUAGCCAAUGUGUCAACUAUCUGAUUGCCCACCCUCGAAAUAUGCUCAAACUCGAUGUUAUCAAAACAAGACAUCAUUUCUUUGAUAUAUUUCUGGUAUGGAAUGAGUUUUCAAUCCCGUGUUUCCCAUUCUUCUCUUAGUUGGUAAAUGACGAGUGAUGAAUCCCCAUACACUUUUACAUCUUUGAUCUCCAUUUCUAUAGCCGAACAAAUGCCUAAUGAACAUGCUUCAUAUUCAGCAAUGUUGUUGGUACAGUAGAACGUCAAUUUUAUAGUUAUGGGGUAUACCCUUCCCUCAGGCCACAUGAAUAUCAAAUCCCAAAUCCAAUAGCAUUAGAAGCUCCAUCAAAUUUCAUGAUCCAUGACAUGUUAAUUCCUUUUUCCGCAUCAUUUAUACUCAUGAUAUUUUCAAUAGGAAAAUCCAUUGUUACUAGGUCUAGGUCUGGAGUAGAAUGCUCCGCCAAAUGAUCAACUAUUGGAUUGCCUUUGAUUGCUUUUCGGGCCGAAUACAUGAUAUCGUAUUCUGCCAGCUGAACUUGCCAUCUUGCGAUACGUCCUGUAAGAGAUGGUUUUUGAAAGAUAUAUUUCAUAGGGUUAAUUUUUGAGACCAAAUGUGUGGUAUAAUAUAACAUGUAGUGCCUUAACCUUUUAGCCACCCAAGUUAGUGCCCCACACGUUUUUUCCAAAUCUAUCGAACCUCGUGGUCCAUAAACUUUUUACUUGUUUAGUAGAUUACAUGCUCCUUAUUUCCCUGUGUUGUCACUUUGGGCAGGCAUUUCCCCCACCGACUUGUCA